Molecule: long non-coding RNA, 2262 nt
Organism: Bubalus bubalis (water buffalo)
Lineage: Eukaryota; Metazoa; Chordata; Mammalia; Artiodactyla; Bovidae
Exons: 2
Source: RefSeq, a predicted model, not a curated record
CCAAGUAGAUGGACAUGAGUUUGAGUGAACUCCGGGAGUUGGUGAUGGACAGGGAGGCCUGGUGUGCUGCAAUUCAUGGGGUCGCAAAGAGUCGGACACAGUGGAGCGACUCAACUGAACUGAGGAGCAUGGCCAGCACCCCAGAGAUGACUGUGUGCAGAGCUAUGCCCAGGUCCAGUGAGGGGGCAGUACCCCAUUCUGCCAGGGUUGUUAUGUGGAAGAUGACAUGUGCUGUUUGGGCCUGGAGCAGGCUCCUUGUCCCGUUUCUGCUCAGGGAUAUAUGCACCCCCUUCCCACCCAGGCCUCAGAGUCACUCCCCUUUAAUGACUGGGACUGCUGCUCCCCAAUUGUCCCAUCUCAGCAGUGCCCACCUGCAGCUGAACCCCUGAAGUUCCCAGUCCCCCAACUCCCUCAGUCAAGCUGACUCCACCCCUCCUGCUACAUGGACCCUGUGUACGUAGCCCCUGCGCCCUCUGCCCUGGAAUGGGAACCCCUCCCUCACCAUCCACAUCAGUGAAUGUCAGGGAAGCAGCACAGAUGUGGCCACAAACACACCUCAAAAAGGGAAAAUGGGUUUGAAAGCUCUGUGGGGGAGACUUCAUAAUUGGGAAAAAUUUAGAGAAUGGGCAGUAGAGGGAAGUGUGGGCCCGAGUGGGAGUCAGGAAGUGAAGCAGACAGCGAGGGCUGGACUCCCAGCGCCAGGAAGGUGUCCAAGGUGACACUGGAGCUUCUGGGCCUGGCCACCGAUGGGCCAGUGUCCCUGAAACUUUCUGAGCACACAGAGCUCAUCGGUGCAGUCACAGUAUAAGUAGGAAGUUUAAUCUUCAUCAAAGGUCUGAGCAAAAUGGGUGGUUUCUUUUUAAGUGUCUGUUUCCAUUUUAUCUGCACCCAGAACCCAUCUUAUUCUGAAGCCCUUGCAGGACUGAGCAGGAUAAUUUAAUGCUUGGAGGCAGACAUGGAGCCUAGCAGCCCUCCCUGGAGAUGAAGAACUCCAUUGCCCCGAUGACCUUGAGGAGCAGAAGCGCAGGAGGAGGGAGAUAAGAGUAUGGUUCUUGGCCUUGACUCUGGGAGGGUCUCGGGCUCAACAAAGACCCCAAGGAAUCACAGUGUGAGAGCAGAGGAGAGUCCAUCCCCAAAGGGUCUUCAGGCAGCUCACAGCCCUUGGGGGGUGGUGCAUGCACUGGCCUGCAUCUUAUUGAGAAGAGCAGAGGUGCUCUGUCUCAGGUUCACUGUUUCUUACGAAUCCAGGCAUCAGUAUAUGAUCACACUGAAACACUGGGACAUAUUGCUACACCCAGACGGAGCUGUGGGAAGCUCUUAUGUGUAAUCUGAGGUUUAUGCUCCUUAUGGUUCUACAGCAAAAAUUGUACUUUUCUUUUUUCCUCUCUUUACAGUGGGGGAUGGUGGUGGUGGUAUUUAGUUGAUUCUCAUGGGCAGCUCCUAGAUUCUUAGCCAGGUGCAUACUGAAGAGUAUUUGGAGGAGGAAAUGGCAACUCACUCCAGUAUUCCUGCCUGGAAAAUCUCAUGGACAGAGGAGCCUGGCGGGCUAUAGUCCAUGUGAUUGCAAAGAAUCAGACACGACAGAGCAUGCAUGUGCAUGCGCGUGUGAGCGUGCGCACACACACACACUGAAGAGUACAGGAAUGAAACUUUUCAAGGGCUGUGGCCGGCAGUAUUUCACAAGACAAAAAUGGGAUGAAGAUGUGGCAACAUUUAGUAAUUUAGUAAUUGCAUAUAGGUAUCCAUUGUGUCACUCUCUGUACUGUAUUUUGAAAAAUUUUCCAUUAGUUCAAAACAGGAAAACUCGACCUAAGUAAAUCUUCCUAAGUUGAAAAAUCAUGUAUUCAUUUUCUCAUUCACUGUUUAAGUUGUAACAACAUAAAAUCCUAAUUGAAGCUCUUUAUAAUGUUGGUGACUGUGGAAGUUUCAGCUCUUGAUAACCAAAAGCAGUGGCUGUGGUGUCUUCAUGUCUCACCAUGUUCAUGUCUGUCUGAGCGAGGACAGGCCAUUCGUAGGGGGGUCUCCAUGUGGGGGUCACCCCCUGAGGCCAUGGAACUUAGUAGCCUCAAGCCUGCCUGUCUAGCCCCCUGAAUACUGUUAGUCGUCGAGCGCCUCUUAGGGGGGAUCAGUUGGUACUGCAACUUUUAAAACAGGUGAUUUUUCUUAAGGCUCUUACAGCAAUUUUCAGCAGCUGGACAGCUCCAGGGUCUCCUGUCAGCCUGCUGACUUCCCAUGUCUGACAUAAACUUAGAAUUUAAAGUU